This 253-nucleotide ribosomal RNA is filed under the name uncultured bacterium. RNAcentral's name for it is "partial 16S ribosomal RNA". It matches the Rfam family "Bacterial small subunit ribosomal RNA", at positions 524 to 776 of the family's 1533-position model. The record is from RNAcentral.
UACGUAGGGUGCAGGCGUUAAUCGGAAUUACUGGGCGUAAAGCGUGCGCAGGCGGUCUGCUAAGACAGGUGUGAAAUCCCCGGGCUUAACCUGGGAGUUGCGCUUGUAACUGGCAGGCUAGAGUGUGGCAGAGGGGGGUGGAAUUCCACGUGUAGCGGUGAAAUGCGUAGAUAUGUGGAGGAAUACCGGUGGCGAAGGCGGCCCCCUGGGAUAAUAUUGACGCUCAUGCACGAAAGCGUGGGUAGCAAACAGG